This 250-nucleotide ribosomal RNA is filed under the name uncultured Nitrososphaerota archaeon. RNAcentral describes it as "uncultured thaumarchaeote partial 16S ribosomal RNA". It matches the Rfam family "Archaeal small subunit ribosomal RNA", at positions 474 to 724 of the family's 1478-position model. Lineage: Archaea; Thermoproteati; Nitrososphaerota. The record is from RNAcentral.
UACCAGCACCCCGAGUGGUCGGGACGAUUAUUGGGCCUAAAGCAUCCGUAGCCGGUUCUACAAGUCUUCCGUUAAAUCCACCUGCUUAACAGAUGGGCUGCAGAGGAUACUAUAGAGCUAGGAGGCGGGAGAGGCAAGCGGUACUUAGUGGGUAGGGGUAAAAUCCGUUGAUCCACUGAAGACCACCAGUGGCGAAGGCGGCUUGCCAGAACGCGCUCGACGGUGAGGGAUGAAAGCUGGGGGAGCAAAC